Molecule: long non-coding RNA, 207 nt
Filed under: Elaeis guineensis (African oil palm)
Lineage: Eukaryota; Viridiplantae; Streptophyta; Magnoliopsida; Arecales; Arecaceae
Description: long non-coding RNA (EGUI_LNC018270)
Source: RNAcentral
GAUCUUAGAGGCAUUAGUUUCUUCUUCAAAAUUUUUUUUUUCAAAAAGAUUAUUCUAUUACUAACGAAUACCUUUUGUUCAUCAACAAGAUAGAAGUAAUAUCCCUUAGUCUCUUUUAGGUAUCCUAUAAAUAAAUACUUGUCAGACCUAGAUCCGAGCUUAUCUAUUUUUAAAUAUUUGACAUAAGCUGGAUAUCCCCAAACCCUA